Molecule: long non-coding RNA, 675 nt
Organism: Micropterus dolomieu (smallmouth bass)
Lineage: Eukaryota; Metazoa; Chordata; Actinopteri; Centrarchiformes; Centrarchidae
Exons: 2
Source: RefSeq, a predicted model, not a curated record
CUUCUUCUUCUUCUUCUUCUUCUGCUGUGUGUUUAACGGCGGCUCGCCCCGAGUUUAAAGACUAGACACAUCUACGCCUCACUGCUGCCCUCCACGAACCAGGGUUCACGGUUUCUUAGCUUGUUAUAAUUAUUCCUGUGUACUUUGUGUGUUUGACGUUGUGCUGCCGCUGCAGUCUGUGAAACGUCAGGACAUUUAUAUAAAAGUGUCUCCAGCACUUCUGCAGACUCCUGAAGCAGCUCUCGUGUCGUCGGAUGGCGAUCAGGUGUGCAGGACACGUUCUUAUCUUAAUAAACUCACUUUGUACUCAAACCACAGACGAGGAAGUGAAUCAAUAAGUGAUGAAAACACCUUUUAUUCUGGCGGGGGUGAAAAGAGACGGCCACAGAUGAAGAUGAAGUCACUUCUCCAGAGAAAGUUACAUGAAGAUGUUUGUAUUCAUGAAGAGUCUCAGGAGUCAGACGCUCGUCUCUCUGCUCUACAUGGAAAACACAGUGAAGAAGAAGAGAAGCACAUCAGACUCAUAGUGUCUCCUGGGAAACAGGACCUGUCCUCACUUUCAUAAGCAUGGUUUCAGCAUCCUUCCAUUACAGCAUUAGGCUACGAAGUCACGUCACCAUCAGUAGGCUCCGUGGAAAACUGAACUAUAACCUAAUAAAAGACUUUAAGGCUUCA